UACGUAGGGUGCAAGCGUUAAUCGGAAUUACUGGGCGUAAAGCGUGCGCAGGCGGUUUUGUAAGACAGUGGUGAAAUCCCCGGGCUCAACCUGGGAACUGCCAUUGUGACUGCAAGGCUAGAGUGCGGCAGAGGGGGAUGGAAUUCCGCGUGUAGCAGUGAAAUGCGUAGAUAUGCGGAGGAACACCGAUGGCGAAGGCAAUCCCCUGGGCCUGCACUGACGCUCAUGCACGAAAGCGUGGGGAGCAAACAGGAUUAGAUACCCUGGUAGUCCACGCCCUAAACGAUGUCAACUGGUUGUUGGGUCUUAACUGACUCAGUAACGAAGCUAACGCGUGAAGUUGACCGCCUGGGGAGUACGGCCGCAAGGUUGAA
Molecule: ribosomal RNA, 374 nt
Filed under: uncultured bacterium
Lineage: Bacteria
Description: bacterial SSU rRNA
Rfam family: Bacterial small subunit ribosomal RNA
Source: RNAcentral